GGGACUGACUUGGAUUUGACUGCAAGAUGCGUUAAAUAGUAAGCAUGUCGAGCAUUGUUUUUUGGCUCGUAAAAAUCAAGAUUCAACUUUUUUAAUUGGCGAAAAUAAUUACGCUUUAGCUGCAUAAUUGAUAUAAUUACGUAUGCUUUUGUCUCUGUAUAAGGAUCUCCUGAUUCCUUUAACUAUUGAGGCAUCAUUAAUUUCAGGAUAAUUAAUCUAUUUCUUCUGUAGGUUAGUGAAAAUUUAGAAGAUAAGAAUUAGGAUUGGUUGCUUUUUCCCUACCUUUUUUCGAAAACUAAAAUCAGAUAAACAUGUAGAAAUCUUUUUAAUUCCUUGUUAGGACGUGGGUUCGAAACCCACCAGUUCCACU
RNAcentral lists this transfer-messenger RNA (370 nucleotides) under marine eukaryotic metagenome. It matches the Rfam family "transfer-messenger RNA". Rfam says of the family: Bacterial tmRNA, also known as 10Sa RNA or SsrA, is named for its dual tRNA and mRNA-like properties. The record is from RNAcentral.